This 253-nucleotide ribosomal RNA is filed under the name uncultured prokaryote. Its description in RNAcentral is "partial 16S ribosomal RNA". It matches the Rfam family "Bacterial small subunit ribosomal RNA", at positions 525 to 777 of the family's 1533-position model. The record is from RNAcentral.
ACGAAGGGGGCUAGCGUUGUUCGGAAUUACUGGGCGUAAAGCGCACGUAGGCGGGUAUUUAAGUCAGGGGUGAAAUCCCGGAGCUCAACUCCGGAACUGCCUUUGAUACUGGGUACCUAGAGUAUGGAAGAGGUAAGUGGAAUUCCGAGUGUAGAGGUGAAAUUCGUAGAUAUUCGGAGGAACACCAGUGGCGAAGGCGGCUUACUGGUCCAUUACUGACGCUGAGGUGCGAAAGCGUGGGGAGCAAACAGGA